This 584-nucleotide ribosomal RNA is filed under the name uncultured bacterium. RNAcentral's name for it is "partial 16S ribosomal RNA". It matches the Rfam family "Bacterial small subunit ribosomal RNA", at positions 355 to 935 of the family's 1533-position model. The record is from RNAcentral.
UGGGGAAUUUUGGACAAUGGGCGCAAGCCUGAUCCAGCCAUGCCGCGUGCGGGAAGAAGGCCUUCGGGUUGUAAACCGCUUUUGUCAGGGAAGAAAUCUUCUGAGCUAAUGCCUCGGGAGGAUGACGGUACCUGAAGAAUAAGCACCGGCUAACUACGUGCCAGCAGCCGCGGUAAUACGUAGGGUGCAAGCGUUAAUCGGAAUUACUGGGCGUAAAGCGUGCGCAGGCGGUUUUGUAAGACAGAGGUGAAAUCCCCGGGCUCAACCUGGGAACUGCCUUUGUGACUGCAAGGCUUGAGUGCGGCAGAGGGGGAUGGAAUUCCGCGUGUAGCAGUGAAAUGCGUAGAUAUGCGGAGGAACACCGAUGGCGAAGGCAAUCCCCUGGGCCUGCACUGACGCUCAUGCACGAAAGCGUGGGGAGCAAAACAGGAUUAGAUACCCCUGGUAGUCCACGCCCUAAACGAUGUCAACUGGUUGUUGGGAAGGUUCCUUCUCAGUAACGUAGCUAACGCGUGAAGUUGACCGCCUGGGGAGUACGGCCGCAAGGUUGAAACUCAAAUGAAUUGACGGGGUCAUAGCUGUUU